GGCCCGGUGGUGUAACGGAUGUGCACGCCUGUUUAUCAGACAGGAAGUCCCAGUUCGAUUCUGGGUCGGGCCG
RNAcentral lists this transfer RNA (73 nucleotides) under Stereum hirsutum FP-91666 SS1. Its description in RNAcentral is "tRNA-Asp (ATC) (tRNA-Asp-ATC-1-1)". It matches the Rfam family "tRNA". From Rfam's summary of the family: Transfer RNA (tRNA) molecules are approximately 80 nucleotides in length. Their secondary structure includes four short double-helical elements and three loops (D, anti-codon, and T loops). Further hydrogen bonds mediate the characteristic L-shaped molecular structure. tRNAs have two regions of fundamental functional importance: the anti-codon, which is responsible for specific mRNA codon recognition, and the 3' end, to which the tRNAs corresponding amino acid is attached (by aminoacyl-tRNA synthetases). tRNAs cope with the degeneracy of the genetic code in two manners: having more than one tRNA (with a specific anti-codon) for a particular amino acid; and 'wobble' base-pairing, i.e. permitting non-standard base-pairing at the 3rd anti-codon position. Lineage: Eukaryota; Fungi; Basidiomycota; Agaricomycetes; Russulales; Stereaceae. The record is from RNAcentral.